Non-coding RNA from Callithrix jacchus (white-tufted-ear marmoset), 4563 nucleotides. NCBI's taxonomy places the organism in Eukaryota, Metazoa, Chordata, Mammalia, Primates, Cebidae. The record is from RefSeq and is a predicted model, not a curated record.
GGAAGAGGCGGGGUGGGGGAAGAGCGAGCAGCAGGAACGGCGCCUGCGCGGUGGGCGUGAUCCGGGCACUUAGGGCAGGAUGAACGCUGCUUUCCAAGAUGGCGACGGAGGGAGGAGGGAAGGAGAUGAACGAGAUUAAGACCCAAUUCACUACCCGGGAAGGUCUCUACAAGCUGCUGCCGCACUCGGAGUACAGCCGGCCCAACCGGGUGCCCUUCAACUCGCAGGGAUCCAACCCUGUCCGCGUCUCCUUCGUAAACCUCAACGACCAGUCUGGCAACGGCGACCGCCUCUGCUUCAAUGUGGGCCGGGAGCUCUACUUCUAUAUCUACAAGGGGGUCCGCAAGGCUGCUGACUUGAGUAAACCAAUAGAUAAAAGGAUAUACAAAGGAACACAGCCUACUUGUCAUGACUUCAACCACCUAACAGCCACAGCAGAAAGUGUCUCUCUCCUAGUGGGCUUUUCUGCAGGCCAAGUCCAGCUUAUAGACCCAAUCAAAAAAGAAACUAGCAAACUUUUUAAUGAGGAAUGAACAAAGACAAAGACAUUCUGGAGAGACAUGAGAAGCUAGUAACAGUGACUCAGGACAGAGGUUCUGGAAUGGAGGAGAAGAAUGGUUACUGUGAGGCUUAGAGAGCAUGGGUGUGCCCAGCACCCAUAAGUAGACGCUCCGAUCGGAAGUGAGGCCAGCACUGCUGCUGUUGAUGCUGCCCAUAGACAGUGGUGCCUUGGCUGCCACUCACCCUGAUAACGGCCGAGACACAGGGUACCCCUGACAAAGCACACGUUUUCCCUGCUGUUAAGCACACGAUCUGUUAGGGAGAAACAACGGGUAAGGCAAGUAAGAGACUUACCUCAAUGCAGUUGCAGCCAAGGUCCUUUUUUUUGGGAGGUCUGCUGUUGCUUUAACUGGUGUGCUCAGUCCCCCGUUACCAGUGUGUUACAGUAACGUUUGAUUAGGCCCCCAGAGAGAGAUUGAAGUAGAUGGGCGCGGGAUAUUAUCCCUAAGUUACAUCCAUAUGUCUACUUACAAUAGUCUCAGUGCAACUUUUUUUUUUGGAGAUGGAAUCUCAUUUUGUCCCCUAGGCUAGAGUGCAGUGGCAUGGUCUCGGCUUGCUGUUGCCUUCACAUCGCAGGUUCAAGUGAUUCUCCUGCCUCAGCCUCCGGAGCAGCUGGGAUUACAGGUGUACGCUACCACGCCCAGCUGAUUUAUUUAUAUUUAGUAGAAAUGGGGUUUCACCAUGUUGGCCAGGCUAGUCUCGAACUCCUGACCUCAAGUAAUCCACCCUCGGCCUCCCAAAGUGCUAGGAUUACAGGUGUGAGCCAUUGUGCCCAGCCACAGUACAACUUUUUAAUAUGGGAGUAAAGGUUUUUAAUGUGUUUUGUCAUUGCAAUAACUUUUUUUUUUUUUGAGACGGAAUUUUGCUCCUGUUGCCUAGGCUGGAGUGCAAUGGCAUGAUCUCAGCUCACUGCAACCUCUGCCCCCAAUGUUCAAGUGAUUCUCCUGCCUCAGCCUCCCAAGUAGCUGGGACUAUAGGCAUGCGUCGCUACGCCUGGCUAAUUUUGUAUUUUUAGUAGAGACAGAGUUUAUCCAUGUUGGUCAGGCUGGUCUCGACUGCCCAACCUCAGGUGAUCCGCCCACCUUGGCCUCCCAAAGUGCUGGGAUUACAGGCAUGAGCCACCGUGCCCAGCCUGCAGUAACAUUUUUAAUGGUCCUAUAACUAUUAAUACCUCACUAUUGCAAAGCAGUACUGUUUUUACUUGAUAGUAUGAGUUGUUGAGUUCUAAUGCUGUUUUUGGGGGGUGUCUGUGUGUGUGUGUGUGUGUGUGUGUGUGUGUGUGUGUGUGUGUUUAAGAUGGAGUCUCGCUCUGUCACCCAGGCUGGAGUACAGUGGCACUAACUCAGCUCACUGCAACCUCAGCCUCCCAGGUUCAAGCAGUUCUCCACCUCAGCCUCCCAAGUAGCUGGGAUUACAGUUGCCCGCCACGGUGCCUGGCUAAUUUUUUGUAUUUUUAGUAGAAAUCGGGUUUUACCAUGUUGGCCAGAGUGGUCUUGAACUCUUGACCUCAGGUGAUCUGCCCACCUUGGCCUCCCAAAGUGCUGGGAUUACAGGUGUGAGCCACCGUGCCCAGCCUUUUGUUGUGUGUUUUUUUUUUUUUUUUUUGAGACAGAGUUUCGCUCUUGUUACCCAGGCUGGAGUGCAAUGGCGCGAUCUCGGCUCACUGCAACCUCCGCCUCCUGGGUACAGGCAAUUCUCCUGCCUCAGCCUCCUGAGUAGCUAGGAUUACAGGCACGCGCCACCACACCCAGCUAAUUUUUGUAUUUUUAGUAGAGACGGAGUUUCACCAUAUUGACCAGGAUGGUCUCUAUCUCUUGACCUUGUGAUCCACCCGCCUCGGCCUCCCAAAGUGCUGGGAUUACAGGCGUGAGCCACCACACCCAGCUGUUGUGUUUUUUUAAGGCCCCAAAUAAAAUUUACUUCUAACUGUGCUGCUAGAAGUUUUUAUGUCCUUAAAUUUCUCCACACAUGGUAAAUGGAGUAACAAUGAACUGAUCCUGGGAAAAUUGGGAUUUGAUUUGAUCCUGGUGAAAUGUAAGGCACAGGAAUUGAGAGCCACUGUACUGGAAGCAGACAGCAGUCUGGCUUCCCAGCCCUGAAUUAGCUGGUAUAGGCCUGCUUGACAAGGCCAGUGAUGGGGUGAGCUGUGGACACCCCUAGGCCCUGGGCCAUCAGGUACAAUUGUGUUUGUGGGAUCAGGAGUGCUAGGGCAGCCUGGGCCCAGUGGGACAGCAAGGUUUGGUAGAGGUGUGACGGGGGAGUGGGAGCCUCUUAACCCACCGUUCACCAUCAACAUCAUCCUUUCUCCUCCCUCCUUCGCCAAAAAAAAGCCCUUGUCUGGCCAUGUAAAUUAUCUCUCUAACCCCUUGCUGAAAAAAUUACACGAAGGUCUAAUGGAAAUCCUGGCAGAGUAGCGCUAGAUUUUUAGGUUGCUGGCAUUGGUGCAGGUCAGGUGCUGUUUAUAGGUAGGUCACCAGACAAGGCGGGUAAAGAGGUGGGGGAUGAAAAUAUUGGCUGUGUCCCCAAGGCUGGCUUGCCAGGUGCCUGUGAAUUUAAGAGGCCGGUCAUGUCAUUUACGGCAGUAAAAUGUUGCUGCUGAGUAACCCUUGCCCAAUACGUGGUCCCUGGCCCUGGGCCUGCGCGCUGUGUGGCGUCCAAGCUUCCACUCUUCCUGCUUGGGGUCAUUUGUUAGCAGCCUCCCUUCCAGGAUCUAAUGUUCAUGCAGUGAGCUUGCAUGGCUCAUUAAUUUCUUUUCCAGCUGUUCUUUUAAAAAUCAAGUCAUCCUAUUUCUAUAAUUUUCUGUAAAGAUAUAGCACACAUAGCAAGCACAUGGCCCCAAAGCCACCCAGGCAAAAGUCAGCAUGAUUCUUGGCAGAAUCUGCUCCAAUGUGCCCAGUACCCUCUGUGACCUGAGUUGGGGAAUUCCCACCUGUUAGGUGGAGUGGUAGUGUUCAGCUUGCUGGGGCUGCUGGGCUCCUCAAGGGACGCUUUUCCUGGGGCUUCGGUGCAGUGGAGAACAUUUGGCAGUGGAAGUUGUAGGUAGAUUUGGGAGUCUUGGAUCUUCUGGAUGCAUUUUGGUGAUGUGAUUUGGUGCUCAGAUGGUCUAGAAAGGGUCCGCCCCCGUGGAAGCUGUUGUGCUGGCAAUCCCCACUGCAUGAUCAACUGGCAAGCAGGGAAGGAGACUUGUGCCUUUGGUUGGGGGUGGUAUCUUUGCCUUUUGUUCUUUGGGUUUUAAAGGCAAGACUACCCACAUAUGCCUGUUAAAGAAACAUGUUGGUUAGGGGUCCGGAGUUAGCAUGGAGUAGAGUGAUGAUGAGACACACACUCCCGAAUGAAUCAUCAACAUAUUUCUCUUAAUGCCACCAGAGAGGGUUUUGAGGAAAUGCUGACAGAGAUGCGCAUGGGGCAGUGCUUGAGUGAGGAAGCCUCGGGGACCCAGGGCUGAGGUAGCGCCCAGCGGCGUACUUUGGAGUCACGUGGGCUGCAGAUUUCACUCCCCACCUUCUAGCCAUCAGAGCAGAGGGCAGAUGGAGCCAGCCCAUGACUUACAGUGACAAUAAAUGCAGAGAAACCCUUGAGGUGAGGCAGAGCUCUCCUGGCUGUGAGGACUCAAGAAACUUUAGCUGUGGGUCUUCAUAGAGGGGAUGCCACAUGUUACUGCAGUGACCCCCAGAUCAGAUGCUCCUACUGUUAAAGCGUCCCAGCAGGGCUGUUCCCUCCGGGGACAAUCCUGUGCCUGGCAGAGCAUCUGGCACUUUGUGGCCCCUCUGCAAGUAUUUGUUCACUGCCUGACUCCCUCAGUGAAAGCCAGUAGCCUAACACUGAUUUUAGAAAGUAAUUCUACAAGGGGUCAAAAUGCUCCUUGCUGGCCUGGCUGACUGCAGGAUAAAACGUGGAGGGCCCCGAUGGACUUGCCUCUUCCCACCAGGAAAUACACAAGUUUGCUUGCUGGAAACAUGCACCUUUGAGACUUCUCCGUUGUGCUAACUUGUUCUCCUUUGU